This 497-nucleotide ribosomal RNA is filed under the name uncultured bacterium. RNAcentral's name for it is "partial 16S ribosomal RNA". It matches the Rfam family "Bacterial small subunit ribosomal RNA", at positions 28 to 507 of the family's 1533-position model. The record is from RNAcentral.
GAUGAACGCUGGCGGCGUGCCUAAUACAUGCAAGUCGAGCGAACAGACGAGGAGCUUGCUCCUCUGACGUUAGCGGCGGACGGGUGAGUAACACGUGGAUAACCUACCUAUAAGACUGGGAUAACUUCGGGAAACCGGAGCUAAUACCGGAUAAUAUAUUGAACCGCAUGGUUCAAUAGUGAAAGACGGUUUUGCUGUCACUUAUAGAUGGAUCCGCGCCGCAUUAGCUAGUUGGUAAGGUAACGGCUUACCAAGGCGACGAUGCGUAGCCGACCUGAGAGGGUGAUCGGCCACACUGGAACUGAGACACGGUCCAGACUCCUACGGGAGGCAGCAGUAGGGAAUCUUCCGCAAUGGGCGAAAGCCUGACGGAGCAACGCCGCGUGAGUGAUGAAGGUCUUCGGAUCGUAAAACUCUGUUAUUAGGGAAGAACAAAUGUGUAAGUAACUAUGCACGUCUUGACGGUACCUAAUCAGAAAGCCACGGGUAACUACGUG